RNAcentral lists this ribosomal RNA (443 nucleotides) under uncultured bacterium. RNAcentral describes it as "partial 16S ribosomal RNA". It matches the Rfam family "Bacterial small subunit ribosomal RNA", at positions 338 to 795 of the family's 1533-position model. The record is from RNAcentral.
CCUACGGGUGGCAGCAGUGAGGAAUAUUGGUCAAUGGACGGAAGUCUGAACCAGCCAUGCCGCGUGAAUGAUGAAGGUCUUCGGAUUGUAAAGUUCUGUGAUGGGGGAUGAACACAAUGACGGUACCCCAAUAGCAAGCCACGGCUAACUACGGGCCAGCAGCCGCGGUAAUACGUAGGCGGCAAGCGUUAUCCGGAAUGACUGGGCGUAAAGGGUGCGUAGGUGGUUUAGUAAGUUGGCGGUGUAAUUCCGGGGCUCAACCUCGGCGCUGCCGCCAAAACUGUUAGGCUAGAGUGCAGGGGGGGUAAGUGGAAUUCCUAGUGUAGCGGUGGAAUGCGUAGAUAUUAGGCGGAACAUCAGGGGCGAAGGCGACUUACUGGACUGUAACUGACACUGAGGCACGAAAGCGUGGGGAGCAAACAGGAUUAGAUACCCCAGUAGUC